Molecule: ribosomal RNA, 254 nt
Filed under: uncultured bacterium
Lineage: Bacteria
Description: partial 16S ribosomal RNA
Rfam family: Bacterial small subunit ribosomal RNA
Source: RNAcentral
AUGCUACCGGGCGACCGGAUGCGGAUCUCGAAAGCCUGUCCCAGUUCGGAUUGUAGUCUGCAACCCGACUACAUGAAGCUGGAAUCGCUAGUAAUCGCGGAUCAGAAUGCCGCGGUGAAUACGUUCCCGGGUCUUGUACACACCGCCCGUCACACCAUGGGAGUCGGAAAUGCCCGAAGUCUGUGACCCAACCAUUAAGGAGGGAGCAGCCGAAGGCAGGUCGGAUGACUGGGGUGAAGUCGUAACAAGGUACC